GCCUAGCCCUAAAUCUUGAUGCUCGAUAUUACCUGAGCAUCCGCCCGAGAACUACGAGCACAAACGCUUAAAACUCUAAGGACUUGGCGGUGCUCCAAACCCACCUAGAGGAGCCUGUUCUGUAAUCGAUGAUCCACGAUAUUACCUGACCAUUCCUUGCACGAAGCAGCCUAUAUACCGCCGUCGCCAGCCCACCUUUCCUGACAGCCCAACAGUGGACGCAAUAGCCUAACCCGCUAGCAAGACAGGUCAAGGUAUAGCCCACGGAAUGGAAGCAAUGGGCUACAUUUUCUAGACUAGAACAUACGGAUAAGGGUAUGAAACUGCCCUUGGAAGGCGGAUUUAGCAGUAAAGAGAGACAAUUGAGCUCUCUUUAAGCCGGCUCUGGAGCACGU
This 395-nucleotide ribosomal RNA is filed under the name Turdus grayi (Clay-colored Robin). RNAcentral describes it as "partial 12S ribosomal RNA". It matches the Rfam family "Bacterial small subunit ribosomal RNA", at positions 794 to 1384 of the family's 1533-position model. The record is from RNAcentral. Lineage: Eukaryota; Metazoa; Chordata; Aves; Passeriformes; Turdidae.